UGCAUUCACUACUGUAAGUCGCUCUGGAUAAGAGAAUCUGCUAAAUGACUGAAA
Non-coding RNA from Salmo salar (Atlantic salmon), 54 nucleotides. The record is from Rfam. NCBI's taxonomy places the organism in Eukaryota, Metazoa, Chordata, Actinopteri, Salmoniformes, Salmonidae.